RNAcentral lists this ribosomal RNA (617 nucleotides) under uncultured bacterium. RNAcentral describes it as "bacterial SSU rRNA". It matches the Rfam family "Bacterial small subunit ribosomal RNA", at positions 61 to 669 of the family's 1533-position model. The record is from RNAcentral.
GUCGAACGGUAACAUGUCUAGCUUGCUAGAUGAUGACGAGUGGCGGACGGGUGAGUAAUACUUAGGGAUCUGCCUUUUGGAGGGGGAUAACCAUUGGAAACGAUGGCUAAUACCGCAUAAUGUCUACGGACCAAAGGGGGGGAUCUUCGGACCUCUCGCCAUUUGAUUAGCCCAAGUGAGAUUAGCUAGUUGGUGAGGUAAUGGCUCACCAAGGCGACGAUCUCUAGCUGGUUUGAGAGGAUGAUCAGCCACACUGGGACUGAGACACGGCCCAGACUCCUACGGGAGGCAGCAGUGGGGAAUAUUGCACAAUGGGCGCAAGCCUGAUGCAGCCAUGCCGCGUGUGUGAAGAAGGCCUUCGGGUUGUAAAGCACUUUCAGUAAGGAGGAAAGGGAUGUAGUUAAUAGCUGCAUUCUGUGACGUUACUUACAGAAGAAGCACCGGCUAACUUCGUGCCAGCAGCCGCGGUAAUACGAGGGGUGCAAGCGUUAAUCGGAAUUACUGGGCGUAAAGCGCACGCAGGCGGUUUGUUAAGCUAGAUGUGAAAGCCCCGGGCUCAACCUGGGAAUAGCAUUUAGAACUGGCAGACUAGAGUCUUGGAGAGGGGAGUGGAAUUU